AGAGUUUGAUCAUGGCUCAGAAUGAACCUGGCGGCGUGCUUAACACAUGCAAGUCGAACGAGAACACCCUAGCUUGCUAGGGUAAGUAAAGUGGCGCACGGGUGAGUAACGCGUGGGUAAUCUACCUUCGAAUUGGGGAUAACGUUGCGAAAGCGACGCUAAUACCGAAUAACAUCCAUUAAUCUUUGGAUUUUUGGAUCAAGGGUGGCCUCUACAUGUAAGCUACUGUUUGAAGAUGAGCCCGCGUACCAUUAGCUUGUUGGUGGGGUAAUGGCCUACCAAGGCGACGAUGGUUAGCUGGUCUGAGAGGAUGAUCAGCCACACUGGAACUGACACACGGUCCAGACUCCUACGGGAGGCAGCAGUGAGGAAUUUUGCGCAAUGGGCGAAAGCCUGACGCAGCAACGCCGCGUGAGUGAUGAAGGCCUUCGGGUCGUAAAGCUCUGUCAAGUGGGAAGAACCUAUAUAAUGUUAAUACCAUUAUAUACUGACGGUACCACUGAAGGAAGCACCGGCUAACUCCGUGCCAGCAGCCGCGGUAAUACGGGGGGUGCAAGCGUUAUUCGGAAUCAUUGGGCGUAAAGAGCACGUAGGCGGCCUGGUAAAUCAGAUGUGAAAUCCCGGGGCUUAACCCCGGAAGUGCAUUUGAUACUGUCAGGCUUGAGUAUGGGAGAGGGAAGUGGAAUUCCUGGUGUAGAGGUGAAAUUCGUAGAUAUCAGGAGGAACACCGGUGGCGAAGGCGACUUCCUGGACCAAUACUGACGCUGAGGUGCGAAGGCGUGGGUAGCAAACAGGAUUAGAUACCCUAGUAGUCC
This 815-nucleotide ribosomal RNA is filed under the name uncultured bacterium. RNAcentral describes it as "bacterial SSU rRNA". It matches the Rfam family "Bacterial small subunit ribosomal RNA", at positions 8 to 796 of the family's 1533-position model. The record is from RNAcentral.